Molecule: ribosomal RNA, 388 nt
Filed under: uncultured bacterium
Lineage: Bacteria
Description: bacterial SSU rRNA
Rfam family: Bacterial small subunit ribosomal RNA
Source: RNAcentral
CAAUGGGCGAAAGCCUGACCCAGCAACGCCGCGUGAGGGAUGAAGUAUUUCGGUAUGUAAACCUCGAAAGAAUGGGAAGAAUAAAUGACGGUACCAUUUAUAAGCUCCGGCUAACUACGUGCCAGCAGCCGCGGUAAUACGUAGGGAGCAAGCGUUGUUCGCAUUUACUGGGCGUCAAGGGCGCGUAGGCGGCGCGGUAAGUCACUUGUGAAAUCUCUGAGCUUAACUCAGAACGGCCAAGUGAUACUGCUGUGCUAGAGUUCGGAAGAGGCAACCGGAAUUCUUGGUGUAGCGGUGAAAUGCGUAGAUAUCAAGAGGAACACCUGAGGCGAAGGCGGGUUGCUAGGCCGACACUGACGCUGAUGCGCGAAAGCCAGGGGAGCAAACG